GGCACCUCCGGGUGUGGAAGGCUCCAGUGAGAUGGAGUCGCGAGUCGCGGACGCUGGGACCGGCGAGACCGCGCGAGCAGCGGGCGGGAGUCCGGCAGUUGGCUGCACCACUCGGGGGCCCGUAGUCUCGGCGCCCCUGGGAGCCGCCCGGUGGAAGCUCCUGCGGCAGGUUCUGAAGCAAAAACACCUGGAUGAUUGCCUGCGACAUGUAUCUGUAAGAAGAUUUGAAUCAUUUAAUCUGUUUUCAGUAACAGAAGGCAAAGAAAGGGAAACUGAAGAGGAGGUUGGUGCAUGGGUCCAAUAUACAAGCAUCUUCUGUCCUGAAUACAGUAUCUCCUUAAGGCAUAAUAGUGGAUCCUUGAAUGUUGAAGAUGUCCUUACCAGCUUUGACAAUACAGGAAAUGUUUACACAGGGUCUCACUCUGUUGCCCAGGCUGGAGUGCAGUGGUGAUCAUAACUCAGUGCAGCCUCAAACUCCUGAACUGCUCAUAUAUUUAAGAAACACUUCGUGGCAGAAGAUUAUGAUACUCUUGCUUAUUUAUUGGCUUAAGGAUUAAGGAUCCCCAAAGUCUCAGACUUCAUUCUGGAGGCUAGAAGUCCAAAGUCAAGGUGUAGAGCCAUGCUCCAUCUGAAACCCCUAGGGGAGUCCGUCACUGCCUCCUUGUAGCUUCUGCUGUCAAUCUUUGGCGUCCCUGGGCUUGCAGCUGCAUCACUCCAGUCUCCACCUUUGUCGUCACCUGGUGCUCUCCCUGGGUGUCUCUCUGUCUUCACGUGGCCGGUCAUAUUGGACGAGGGGCCCACUGUACUCCAGUGUCACCUCAUCUUAACCUAACUAACAAUAUCUGCAGUGACCCUGUUUCCAAAUAAGGUCAUAUUUUGAGGUAUUGUGGGUUAGGUGGAGGGAAGGAGAUCAAUCCAUAAUAUCAUUGCUUUGUGCUUAGUAUAUAAAUAAGAAAUGCUCUAUUUCCAAGUGACGUUUCUUUAUACCUAGGAUUAGUAAUGAACUUUUAAAAGCCUUAUUUUUAUUCCUAGUUUGAGAAACAAUUACUUUAACUACAAAAUUGUGGCAAUAUGAAAGAUUACUUGAUAAACCAUUUUCAAAUAACUGGUUACAAAUUUAGAAGAAAGUUUAAAAAUCC
Molecule: long non-coding RNA, 1139 nt
Filed under: Homo sapiens (human)
Lineage: Eukaryota; Metazoa; Chordata; Mammalia; Primates; Hominidae
Description: long non-coding RNA NONHSAT181695.1
Source: RNAcentral